UGCAUUUGCGAUUUACUGGAUGCUAUGAACUUUCUGCCGAAACUCCUUGUAUAUUUGUGCUGUCAUGGGUUGAUGAGAUAUGGAGUUUCCAGUCCUAUGCGUACUGUAGCAGUGAUUUUUGCUGAUAGAUACCAAAUUGGUCUCUGACGAACAGGAUUCUUGCUAAAGGUUAAUUUAUCUGAACCUUUUUUCUUUCAAACACUUCUGUUUUAUCUUUUCAUACUGGGGGAGGAUAGGGAGGAUUACCAAAUUAGAUUGAAUAUCCAGCAGAAUGAUGUUCUUUAGGUUUUGAGUACAAUUUUCUUCCUCUUUUAAACGUCAACCCGAAGUUCCUGUCAACUGAAUUGUCUUCUACCAUUUUCAAUCACAUGAAACUCCAAAGGUGGCUGUCAAAAUAGCAUAGAGGUAAAAUAACUUGAAUACAGGAAUACAUUUUUGUUUAGGGUUUUCAAGGCCUCUCUCGAAAUCGCAGAAAUUAUUCUGAUCCUUUUUUCUGUUGACGUUGCUGAUAAGAGAAAUAAGGUUAUGCAAGGUUAUAUGUGGGCAUCUUGGAUUAUGUACUAAAUACUUUUAUUCUUGUUGACAGUCUGCAGGUUGAGCUUACUUUUGACAUUAUUGGUAGCUAUAGAGAUUUAAUGCACUUGCUCUUUUAGUUACGGUUUGCAUUUGUGUUAUUUUGAGAUCUAUUUGUCUUAUUGGGAGAGAGUGCAUUAAGGUUAUAUUCAAUCCGGUGCUUACAUGAUAAUUUACAUGUAUUGAUCUAUGGACGAAGUAGUAGGAGAAGAGGUCUAGGCACCAAGUGCACAGUGUUUUUGUUAAUAAAGUCUUCAUUUGGUCUAGGAAAGUUCCUUGUAAACUGAUACUCACGGCUAGCUGCCUGAAAUAUCAUCAGUGCCUUUGUUAUAUGUAACCCGAAAUGAACAAAGGGGAAAGCUUCCAUGUUUGCCGGUAGCCCAAUUUUAUUUGAUUAUCUCCCUUUCAUGGUUUCUUCUGGCUGGUUAUGCAAUCUCGGUCUAUGCAAGGUUUUCUUAUUAGAGAAGUCAAAACAUGCUUCUGACCUAUUAUGAAAGUUAUUCAGGAUAACGGGAAUGAUAUUAUUCUACAUGAAUAUAUUUUGUCUUUGUUUAAUUACUUCCUUGGUAAGCACCACCUCUCUGUUAUGUGUGAUCAGUAUUAAGUGAGGGCAUUUAAAGAGUUAAAACACUGUACCAUACAUGGUUUAAUUUGCUAGACACCUUCUCUGCAGAGCAAAUUUGGCAUGUCACACUGAAACCUUUUUUGAACAAAAAUUCAAUUCCUUCCCAUCUUUUUGCGGGGUCUAACUUGACUAAGGUUAAGGUACAAUGAGUUGCUAAUCAUGAUUAGUUCUUGCUGUGAAUUUACUAGCUUUAUUAUUGUUUAAUUUCAGGUUGCAGACUUAAGUUCACCAGUAGAAAGACAACAUUCAUCAUCUGCUAGUCACGAACCGCAAGGUUGAGGCACUUCAGCUGCUGCCUGGUUCUCUGUUCAGGAACAAGUGAAUUGAUGCCUUAGUACUUUUAGCAGUAUUAGAAUUACACUAUGUGUAAUGAUAUCUGAUAAUGAAUUUAUGUCAACAUAAUUAGCCUAAGCAACAAAUUUGUGGUAAAUUUUAAAGGUUGUGAAAAAGAGGCUUUUGCUCUUUUUAUGAAAAUUGAUAGUAGAAGGAAGAAUAGCAG
RNAcentral lists this long non-coding RNA (1697 nucleotides) under Nicotiana tabacum (common tobacco). Its description in RNAcentral is "long non-coding RNA (NTAB_LNC002048)". Lineage: Eukaryota; Viridiplantae; Streptophyta; Magnoliopsida; Solanales; Solanaceae. The record is from RNAcentral.